This 253-nucleotide ribosomal RNA is filed under the name uncultured bacterium. Its description in RNAcentral is "partial 16S ribosomal RNA". It matches the Rfam family "Bacterial small subunit ribosomal RNA", at positions 524 to 776 of the family's 1533-position model. The record is from RNAcentral.
UACGUAGGGAGCAAGCGUUAUCCGGAAUUAUUGGGUGUAAAGGGUGCGUAGACGGGAGUCUAAGUUAGUUGUGAAAUCCCUCGGCUCAACUGAGGAACUGCAACUAAAACUGGACAUCUUGAGUGCAGGAGAGGAAAGUGGAAUUCCUAGUGUAGCGGUGAAAUGCGUAGAUAUUAGGAGGAACACCAGUGGCGAAGGCGACUUUCUGGACUGUAACUGACGUUGAGGCACGAAAGUAUGGGGAGCAAACAGG